RNAcentral lists this ribosomal RNA (496 nucleotides) under uncultured bacterium. RNAcentral's name for it is "partial 16S ribosomal RNA". It matches the Rfam family "Bacterial small subunit ribosomal RNA", at positions 28 to 506 of the family's 1533-position model. The record is from RNAcentral.
GAUGAACGCUGGCGGCGUGCCUAAUACAUGCAAGUCGAGCGAACAGAUGAGGAGCUUGCUCCUCUGACGUUAGCGGCGGACGGGUGAGUAACACGUGGAUAACCUACCUAUAAGACUGGGAUAACUUCGGGAAACCGGAGCUAAUACCGGAUAAUAUAUUGAACCGCAUGGUUCAAUAGUGAAAGACGGUUUUGCUGUCACUUAUAGAUGGAUCCGCGCCGCAUUAGCUAGUUGGUAAGGUAACGGCUUACCAAGGCAACGAUGCGUAGCCGACCUGAGAGGGUGAUCGGCCACGCUGGAACUGGGACACGGUCCAGACUCCUACGGGAGGCAGCAGUAGGGAAUCUUCCGCAAUGGGCGAAAGCCUGACGGAGCAACGCCGCGUGAGUGAUGAAGGUCUUCGGAUCGUAAAACUCUGUUAUUAGGGAAGAACAAAUGUGUAAGUAACUAUGCACGUCUUGACGGUACCUAAACAGAAAGCCACGGCUAACUACGU